GACGAACGCUGGCGGCGUGCUUAACACAUGCAAGUCGAACGGUAAGGCCCUUCGGGGUACACGAGUGGCGAACGGGUGAGUAACACGUGGGUGAUCUGCCCUGCACUUCGGGAUAAGCCUGGGAAACUGGGUCUAAUACCGGAUAGGACUCCGGACUGCAUGGUCUGGGGUGGAAAGCUUUUGCGGUGUGGGAUGGGCCCGCGGCCUAUCAGCUUGUGGUUGGGGUGAUGGCCUACCAAGGCGACGACGGGUAGCCGGCCUGAGAGGGUGACCGGCCACACUGGGACUGAGAUACGGCCCAGACUCCUACGGGAGGCAGCAGUGGGGAAUAUCGCACAAUGGGUGCAAGCCUGAUGCAGCGACGCCGCGUGAGGGAUGACGGCCUUCGGGUUGUAAACCUCUUUCAGCAUCGACGAAGCGAAAGUGACGGUAGGUGCAGAAGAAGGACCGGCCAACUACGUGCCAGCAGCCGCCGUAA
RNAcentral lists this ribosomal RNA (478 nucleotides) under uncultured bacterium. Its description in RNAcentral is "partial 16S ribosomal RNA". It matches the Rfam family "Bacterial small subunit ribosomal RNA", at positions 28 to 523 of the family's 1533-position model. The record is from RNAcentral.